Pelobates cultripes (western spadefoot toad) is the source of this 413-nucleotide non-coding RNA. The record is from the annotation of a GenBank genome assembly. NCBI's taxonomy places the organism in Eukaryota, Metazoa, Chordata, Amphibia, Anura, Pelobatidae.
AUUUCAAAGGACACUAUAUUGUAAUGUAAAGGUAGUUUCCUUUAGCAAGGUAUGGCCUGAGGAUGAGAGAAAGAGUGUUCAGACAGUGGUUAGAAGGCCACUAGUGGCAAAACAGUUACUGCAGAAAUAAACUUGUAUGAAGUAAAUUAAAUACCGAAAUUAAGGUUUGGAUUCUGACACUGACUCCCAUCAGGCUGAGCCAAGGUAGGAAACAGGGUGACUAAAACAUUUUGUAUAUGUGUCUGUAUAUAUGUAGGUAUAUCUGUGUAGGUCUGUGUCUAUGUGCAUCUGUCUGCAUGUGUGGGGGCGGACUUAGGGGAAGGGGAGGGUAGACAGAUGGGGGUUGCGCCAGGCAGUUUUUGCACUGGGCCCUGUAGUUUCUAGUUACGCCUCUGUGUCAUGUGGUAUCUCUU